This 85-nucleotide transfer RNA is filed under the name Methanoculleus thermophilus. Its description in RNAcentral is "tRNA-Leu". It matches the Rfam family "tRNA". Rfam says of the family: Transfer RNA (tRNA) molecules are approximately 80 nucleotides in length. The record is from RNAcentral. Lineage: Archaea; Methanobacteriati; Methanobacteriota; Methanomicrobia; Methanomicrobiales; Methanomicrobiaceae.
GCGAGGGUUGCCGAGCCAGGUCAAAGGCGCUGGAUUUAGGGUCCAGUCUCGAAGGAGUUCAAGGGUUCGAAUCCCUUCCCUCGCA